UACGGAGGGGGCUAGCGUUGUUCGGAAUUACUGGGCGUAAAGCGCACGUAGGCGGCUUUGUAAGUCAGGGGUGAAAUCCCGGGGCUCAACCCCGGAACUGCCCUUGAGACUGCAAGGCUCGAAUCCAGGAGAGGUGAGUGGAAUUCCGAGUGUAGAGGUGAAAUUCGUAGAUAUUCGGAAGAACACCAGUGGCGAAGGCGGCUCACUGGACUGGUAUUGACGCUGAGGUGCGAAAGCGUGGGGAGCAAAC
RNAcentral lists this ribosomal RNA (250 nucleotides) under uncultured bacterium. Its description in RNAcentral is "partial 16S ribosomal RNA". It matches the Rfam family "Bacterial small subunit ribosomal RNA", at positions 524 to 773 of the family's 1533-position model. The record is from RNAcentral.